This 795-nucleotide ribosomal RNA is filed under the name uncultured bacterium. Its description in RNAcentral is "bacterial SSU rRNA". It matches the Rfam family "Bacterial small subunit ribosomal RNA", at positions 8 to 796 of the family's 1533-position model. The record is from RNAcentral.
AGAGUUUGAUCAUGGCUCAGAUUGAACGCUGGCGGCAUGCUUUGACAUGCAAGUCGAACGGUAACGCGGGUUUCGGCCUGGCGACGAGUGGCGAACGGGUGAGUAACACAUCGGAACGUGCCCGGGAGUGGGGGGAUAACCUCGAGAAAUCGAGGCUAAUACCGCAUACGUCCUGAGGGAGAAAGCGGGGGACCGGUAACGGCCUCGCGCUCACGGAGCGGCCGAUGUCCGAUUAGCUUGUUGGUGGGGUGACGGCUCACCAAGGCGACGAUCGGUAGCUGGUCUGAGAGGAUGAUCAGCCACACUGGGACUGAGACACGGCCCAGACUCCUACGGGAGGCAGCAGUGGGGAAUUUUGGACAAUGGGGGCAACCCUGAUCCAGCCAUGCCGCGUGAGUGAAGAAGGCCUUCGGGUUGUAAAGCUCUUUCGGCCGGAACGAAAUCGCCCGGGUGAAUAAUCCGGGUGGAUGACGGUACCGGAAGAAGAAGCACCGGCUAACUACGUGCCAGCAGCCGCGGUAAUACGUAGGGUGCGAGCGUUAAUCGGAAUUACUGGGCGUAAAGCGUGCGCAGGCGGCUCUUCAAGUCAGGUGUGAAAGCCCCGGGCUUAACCUGGGAAUUGCGCUUGAAACUGGGGGGCUAGAGUGUGGCAGAGGGAGGUGGAAUUCCUGGUGUAGCGGUGAAAUGCGUAGAUAUCAGGAGGAACACCGAUGGCGAAGGCAGCCUCCUGGGCCAACACUGACGCUCAGGCACGAAAGCGUGGGGAGCAAACAGGAUUAGAUACCCUAGUAGUCC